GGGAUAACCCGGCGAAAGUCGGACUAAUACCGCAUGAAGCAGGGGCCCCGCAUGGGGAUAUUUGCUAAAGAUUCAUCGCUGAUAGAUAGGCAUGCGUUCCAUUAGGCAGUUGGCGGGGUAACGGCCCACCAAGCCGACGAUGGAUAGGGGUUCUGAGAGGAAGGUCCCCCACAUUGGUACUGAGACACGGACCAAACUCCUACGGGAGGCAGCAGUGAGGAAUAUUGGUCAAUGGCCGAGAGGCUGAACCAGCCAAGUCGCGUGAGGGAUGAAGGUUCUAUGGAUCGUAAACCUCUUUUAUAAGGGAAUAAAGUGCGGGACGUGUCCCGUUUUGUAUGUACCUUAUGAAUAAGGAUCGGCUAACUCCGUGCCAGCAGCCGCGGUAAUACGGAGGAUCCGAGCGUUAUCCGGAUUUAUUGGGUUUAAAGGGUGCGUAGGCGGCCUUUUAAGUCAGCGGUGAAAGUCUGUGGCUCAACCAUAGAAUUGCCGUUGAAACUGGGGGGCUUGAGUAUGUUUGAGGCAGGCGGAAUGCGUGGUGUAGCGGUGAAAUGCAUAGAUAUCACGCAGAACCCCGAUUGCGAAGGCAGCCUGCCAAGCCAUGACUGACGCUGAUGCACGAAAGCGUGGGGAUCAAACAGGAUUAGAUACCCUGGUAGUCCACGCAGUAAACGAUGAUCACUAGCUGUUUGCGAUACACUGUAAGCGGCACAG
RNAcentral lists this ribosomal RNA (711 nucleotides) under uncultured bacterium. Its description in RNAcentral is "bacterial SSU rRNA". It matches the Rfam family "Bacterial small subunit ribosomal RNA", at positions 140 to 851 of the family's 1533-position model. The record is from RNAcentral.